GUACUGAUUUACCUAUAAAUGAACAUGCAGGUUUGCGAGAAUCAUCCACAAGGUGUUGUGUUGGUGAAAUUUAAGGAUCGAAGAGAUGGUGCGAAAUGCAUCGAGUUGAUGAAUGGAAGAUGGUUUGCAGGGAGGCAAAUUCAUGCUAGUGAAGAUGAUGGUUCGGUUAACCACGCUCUUAUUCGUGAUUUCGACGAGGAGGCAGCAAGGCUCGAGCAAUUUGGUGCAGAACUUGAAGGCGACUGAUGCAAAAUCUUAUCCCACUGUAAUUUGGCAAUCUUUUAGAGCCAAGAGGAUGGCGCGAAGGAAAUGUCUCGUUUAAAUACCUCAAAUCAAAUCCUUACUCGAAACCAACCUACGGAAGGUGAUGUCCGCAUGUCCGCAUGAAAAGAGCGAUGCAGCACAAAUGCGGUGACAAACAGAGAAAUCUUCGGCACGUCAUGUUUCUCUACAAAACUUUGUUCUCAAAGCCAUCAGCUCUCACCUUGUCAACAUAAGGAAAUUUACAUCCUUCUUGCAGCAACUAAACUAAGUAUGGCUAACAUUGGACGCAAGGGCUUAAUUAUGUAUAAUUUGUUUGUAUUAUGGUCCUGGAUUAUUAAUCUAUUAAAUUUUGAAACUUUGACCUUAAUUUGGAGAUGGCUCGAAACAGAUGCGUAUUUCAUAUCUUGUUCUUUUUUUCCUUAUUGUUCAUGUGCUGAUUCUUAUUGAAAUGGUGUACAAUAAAGGCCCUUUUUGAAAA
This is a long non-coding RNA of Ananas comosus (pineapple), 742 nucleotides long. RefSeq lists it as uncharacterized. The transcript is spliced from 3 exons. The record is from RefSeq and is a predicted model, not a curated record. Lineage: Eukaryota; Viridiplantae; Streptophyta; Magnoliopsida; Poales; Bromeliaceae.